GGACUUUUAACUUGUUAACGGGUCAGG
Molecule: non-coding RNA, 27 nt
Filed under: Mus musculus (house mouse)
Lineage: Eukaryota; Metazoa; Chordata; Mammalia; Rodentia; Muridae
Source: RNAcentral